UGUAGGAUAACGUUGCGUCAGCAACGGCCCGUAGGGCGAGCGAAGCGAGUCAUCCUGCACGACCCACCA
RNAcentral lists this small RNA (69 nucleotides) under Escherichia coli. RNAcentral describes it as "partial RtT sRNA". It matches the Rfam family "RtT RNA", at positions 56 to 130 of the family's 130-position model. Rfam says of the family: This family represents a bacterial cis-regulatory element known as RtT RNA. The exact function of RtT is unknown although it is thought that it may be involved in changing the cellular response in relation to amino acid starvation. Lineage: Bacteria; Pseudomonadati; Pseudomonadota; Gammaproteobacteria; Enterobacterales; Enterobacteriaceae. The record is from RNAcentral.